Molecule: ribosomal RNA, 419 nt
Filed under: Fusobacteriota bacterium
Lineage: Bacteria; Fusobacteriati; Fusobacteriota
Description: Fusobacteria bacterium partial 16S ribosomal RNA
Rfam family: Bacterial small subunit ribosomal RNA
Source: RNAcentral
UGGGGGAUAUUGCACAAUGGGCGAAAGCCUGAUGCAGCGACGCCGCGUGGGGGAUGAAGGCCUUCGGGUUGUAAACUUCUUUUGCUCUGAACAAGGCAUGCCUUUGGGGUGUGUUGAGUGUAGGGGUUGAUUAGCGCCGGCUAACUACGUGCCAGCAGCCGCGGUAAUACGUAGGGCGCGAGCGUUGUCCGGAAUUAUUGGGCGUAAAGGGCUUGUAGGUGGCUGGUUGCGUCUGUCGUGAAAGCUCAUGGCUUAACUGUGGGUUUGCGGUGGGUACGGGCUGGCUUGAGUGCAGUAGGGGAGGCUGGAAUUCCUGGUGUAGCGGUGGAAUGCGCAGAUAUCAGGAGGAACACCGAUGGCGAAGGCAGGUCACUGGGCCGUUACUGACACUGAGGAGCGAAAGCGUGGGGAGCGAACAG